GAUGAACGCUGGCGGCGUGCCUAAUACAUGCAAGUCGAGCGAACAGACGAGGAGCUUGCUCCUCUGACGUUAGCGGCGGACGGGUGAGUAACACGUGGAUAACCUACCUAUAAGACUGGGAUAACUUCGGGAAACCGGAGCUAAUACCGGAUAAUAUAUUGAACCGCAUGGUUCAAUAGUGAAAGACGGUUUUGCUGUCACUUAUAGAUGGAUCCGCGCCGCAUUAGCUAGUUGGUACGGUAACGGCUUACCAAGGCAACGAUGCGUAGCCGACCUGAGAGGGUGAUCGGCCACACUGGAACUGAGACACGGUCCAGACUCCUACGGGAGGCAGCAGUAGGGAAUCUUCCGCAAUGGGCGAAAGCCUGACGGAGCAACGCCGCGUGAGUGAUGAAGGUCUUCGGAUCGUAAAACUCUGUUAGUAGGGAAGAACAAAUGUGUAAGUAACUAUGCACGUCUUGACGGUACCUAAUCAGAAAGCCACGGCUAACUACGUG
This 497-nucleotide ribosomal RNA is filed under the name uncultured bacterium. RNAcentral describes it as "partial 16S ribosomal RNA". It matches the Rfam family "Bacterial small subunit ribosomal RNA", at positions 28 to 507 of the family's 1533-position model. The record is from RNAcentral.